GAUGAACGCUGGCGGCGUGCCUAAUACAUGCAAGUCGAGCGAACGGACGAGACGCUUGCUUUUCUGACGUUAGCGGCGGACGGGUGAGUAACACGUGGAUAACCUACCUAUAAGACUGGGAUCACUUCGGAAAACCGGAGCUAAUACCGGAUAAUAUUUUGAACCGCAUGGUUCAAAAGUGAAAGACGGUCUUGCUGUCACUUAUAGAUGGAUCCGCGCUGCAUUAGCUAGUUGGGAAGGUAAAGGCCUACCAAGGCAACGAUGCGUAGCCGACCGGAGAGGGUGAUCGGCCACACUGGAACUGAGACACGGUCCAGACUCCUACGGGAGGGAGCAGUAGGGAAUCUUACGCAGUGGGCGAAAGCCUGACGGAGCAACGCCGCGUGAGUGAUGAAGGUCUUCGGAUCGUAAAACUCUGUUAUGAGGGAAGAACAGAUGUGUAAGUAACUGUGCACAGCUUGACGGUACCUAAUCAGAAAGCCACGGCUAACUACGUG
RNAcentral lists this ribosomal RNA (497 nucleotides) under uncultured bacterium. Its description in RNAcentral is "partial 16S ribosomal RNA". It matches the Rfam family "Bacterial small subunit ribosomal RNA", at positions 28 to 507 of the family's 1533-position model. The record is from RNAcentral.